Molecule: ribosomal RNA, 253 nt
Filed under: uncultured bacterium
Lineage: Bacteria
Description: partial 16S ribosomal RNA
Rfam family: Bacterial small subunit ribosomal RNA
Source: RNAcentral
GACGGAGGAUGCAAGCGUUAUCCGGAAUGAUUGGGCGUAAAGCGUCCGCAGGUGGACAUACAAGUCUGCUGUCAAAGUGCAGAGCUUAACUCUGUAAAGGCGGUGGAAACUGUAGGUCUUGAGUAUGGUAGGGGUAGAGGGAAUUCCCGGUGUAGCGGUGAAAUGCGUAGAUAUCGGGAAGAACACCAGUGGCGAAAGCGCUCUACUGGGCCAUAACUGACACUGAGGGACGAAAGCUAGGGGAGCGAAAGGG